This 279-nucleotide ribosomal RNA is filed under the name uncultured bacterium. RNAcentral's name for it is "partial 16S ribosomal RNA". It matches the Rfam family "Bacterial small subunit ribosomal RNA", at positions 506 to 784 of the family's 1533-position model. The record is from RNAcentral.
UGCCAGCAGCCGCGGUAACACGGGGGGCGCAAGCGUUAUUCGGAAUUAUUGGGCGUAAAGGGCACGCAGGCGGUCUUGUCAGUCAGAUGUGAAAGCCCGGGGCUCAACCUCGGACGUGCAUUUGAAACAGCAAGACUUGAGUACGGUAGAGGAAAGCGGAAUUCCUGGUGUAGAGGUGAAAUUCGUAGAUAUCAGGAGGAACACCGGUGGCGAAGGCGGCUUUCUGGACAGAUAUUGACGCUGAGGCGCGAAGGCGUGGGUAGCGAACGGGAUAAGAUA